GACGAACGCUGGCGGCGUGCUUAACACAUGCAAGUCGAACGGAAAGGCCCCCAUCUUGGUGGGGGUGCUCGAGUGGCGAACGGGUGAGUAACACGUGGGUGAUCUGCCCUGUACUUCGGGAUAAGCUUGGGAAACUGGGUCUAAUACCGGAUAGGACCAUGGUUUAGUGUCUCAUGGUGGGAAGAUUAUUGUUUUGGUGCAGGAUGAGCUCGCGGCCUAUCAGCUUGUUGGUGGGGUAAUGGCCUACCAAGGCGUCGACGGGUAGCCGGCCUGAGAGGGUGGACGGCCACAUUGGGACUGAGAUACGGCCCAGACUCCUACGGGAGGCAGCAGUGGGGAAUAUUGCACAAUGGGCGCAAGCCUGAUGCAGCGACGCCGCGUGGGGGAUGACGGCCUUCGGGUUGUAAACUCCUUUCGUUAGGGACGAAGCCGCACUUUUUUUGGGUGUGGUGACGGUACCUUUGUUAAGAAGCACCGGCUAACUACGUG
This 489-nucleotide ribosomal RNA is filed under the name uncultured bacterium. RNAcentral describes it as "partial 16S ribosomal RNA". It matches the Rfam family "Bacterial small subunit ribosomal RNA", at positions 28 to 507 of the family's 1533-position model. The record is from RNAcentral.